Chiloscyllium plagiosum (whitespotted bambooshark) is the source of this 318-nucleotide non-coding RNA. The record is from RefSeq and is a predicted model, not a curated record. Lineage: Eukaryota; Metazoa; Chordata; Chondrichthyes; Orectolobiformes; Hemiscylliidae.
CGUCAUCCGCUCCAGGAUAUUACGGUCAGGCCGCACGCCAUUCGUCACUCAUGUGUUCCCCACCCGACCUCCCCCUCCUUUCCUUUCGUUCCUUCUCAACCCCCACACCCCCCCCCACAACACACCAACUCUCUUUUCAGCUACGGGCGCUCGGAAUCUCUCCCUGGCUCCCGGAAUUCUAAUCGCCUCCAUGUUCUUCGCCGUCGCACUGGGAAAGUUCUGCCUCUCAAAGUCGCGGGGGCCGCCCGCACGCAAGAUGACGAGCGGACCCGGGGUCGACUGAGGUCCGCCCCUGCCAGGGAGCAACACCCCAAUCCC